GAUGAACGCUGACAGAAUGCUUAACACAUGCAAGUCAACUUGAAUUUGGGUUUUUAACUUAGGCUUGGGUGGCGGACGGGUGAGUAACGCGUAAAGAACUUGCCUCACAGCUAGGGACAACAUUUGGAAACGAAUGCUAAUACCUAAUAUUAUGAUAAUAGGGCAUCCUAUAAUUAUGAAAGCUAUAAGCGCUGUGAGAGAGCUUUGCGUCCCAUUAGCUAGUUGGAGAGGUAACGGCUCACCAAGGCGAUGAUGGGUAGCCGGCCUGAGAGGGUGAUCGGCCACAAGGGGACUGAGACACGGCCCUUACUCCUACGGGAGGCAGCAGUGGGGAAUAUUGGACAAUGGACCGAGAGUCUGAUCCAGCAAUUCUGUGUGCACGAUGAAGUUUUUCGGAAUGUAAAGUGCUUUCAGUUGGGAAGAAACAAAUGACGGUACCAACAGAAGAAGUGACGGCUAAAUACGUG
RNAcentral lists this ribosomal RNA (467 nucleotides) under uncultured bacterium. Its description in RNAcentral is "partial 16S ribosomal RNA". It matches the Rfam family "Bacterial small subunit ribosomal RNA", at positions 28 to 507 of the family's 1533-position model. The record is from RNAcentral.